AUCAUGACUGUGCCGGGAAUUUUUUUUUUUWAAAUAUAGAUAUUUAUUUUAAAAAAACAGAGAGAAACGCAUGCAAACAGAAACGUGCACAUACCACGUAACCACCCGAGGAGAACCUGGCAGCCUCUCUCUUCUUCUGCCAAGUUAUCAUUGAGAAAACAGACAGGCAUCAUGACGUCCUGGGUCACAGGGAGUGCGGACCGACGCUACCAAGAGAAAAGGGAGGCGCCUCAGCGCUCCGGCUAGCCGCGGGCGCCCCUCUGCCCCUCGCAGCCUGGCUCGAUCGAAAUGCAGACUGCCAACAGGAUAUGAAGCAUAGCAAAACUUGUAUUCCUGUUCUGAGAGACACUUACAUGAGCUGACAAUCUACUGGUUCAUCAAUGAAACAAUAUUAAAUUAUGAAGAUGUAAGGAAAAAAUCCUACGCUAACAGUGUUGCAGUUUGCAAGGUAAGCUGUCCCCUACAAGGUAGGAGAUAUUAAUGUUCUUUAAAAAUCUACACAAUACCAUGCC
RNAcentral lists this long non-coding RNA (512 nucleotides) under Urocitellus parryii (Arctic ground squirrel). Its description in RNAcentral is "lncRNA (ENSUPAG00010009615.1)". The record is from RNAcentral. Lineage: Eukaryota; Metazoa; Chordata; Mammalia; Rodentia; Sciuridae.